GUCAUGGCGGCAGCUUACCAUGCAGUCGAGCGGGGAAGGGUAGCUUGCUACCUGACCUAGCGGCGGACGGGUGAGUAAUGCUUAGGAAUCUGCCUAUUAGUGGGGGACAACAUUCCGAAAGGAAUGCUAAUACCGCAUACGCCCUACGGGGGAAAGCAGGGGAUCUUCGGACCUUGCGCUAAUAGAUGAGCCUAAGUCAGAUUAGCUAGUUGGUGGGGUAAAGGCCUACCAAGGCGACGAUCUGUAGCGGGUCUGAGAGGAUGAUCCGCCACACUGGGACUGAGACACGGCCCAGACUCCUACGGGAGGCAGCAGUGGGGAAUAUUGGACAAUGGGCGAAAGCCUGAUCCAGCCAUGCCGCGUGUGUGAAGAAGGCCUUUUGGUUGUAAAGCACUUUAAGCGAGGAGGAGGCUACCGAGAUUAAUACUCUUGGAUAGUGGACGUUACUCGCAGAAUAAGCACCGGCUAACUCUGUGCCAGCAGCCGCGGUAAUACAGAGGGUGCGAGCGUUAAUCGGAUUUACUGGGCGUAAAGCGUGCGUAGGCGGCUUUUUAAGUCGGAUGUGAAAUCCCUGAGCUUAACUUAGGAAUUGCAUUCGAUACUGGGAAGCUAGAGUAUGGGAGAGGAUGGUAGAAUUCCAGGUGUAGCGGUGAAAUGCGUAGAGAUCUGGAGGAAUACCGAUGGCGAAGGCAGCCAUCUGGCCUAAUACUGACGCUGAGGUACGAAAGCAUGGGGAGCAAACAGGAUUAGAUACCCUGGUAGUCCAUGCCGUAAACGAUGUCUACUAGCCGUUGGGGCCUUUGAGGCUUUAGUGGCGCAGCUAACGCGAUAAGUAGACCGCCUGGGGAGUACGGUCGCAAGACUAAAACUCAAAGGAAUUGACGGA
Molecule: ribosomal RNA, 886 nt
Filed under: uncultured bacterium
Lineage: Bacteria
Description: bacterial SSU rRNA
Rfam family: Bacterial small subunit ribosomal RNA
Source: RNAcentral